CCACGCAUCUCUAGGUCGACGAACGCUAAGAACUUUUUGCUUGUUCGCAUUCUUGCGCACCAUAAUGCCUUCAGUGUGUUUGUGAAAUUCGGCAAAAGAGAGCGGCCGAGAGAUUGAGAAAAGCUUCUUCCGGACCAGAUCUGGGCGCAGCCUCCAAAUCAAAUGAAACUUCUGGCGUUAGAAAAUCAGAGAGCGGAAGUCGAUUCUCAGAGGAGACGAACACUGUACCAUGUUUAAAGCUCUCAAAGAUGUAGCCAUGGAGAAAGAUGCAGCAGUUGUUGCCCAAGUAUAUGCAGUCUAGAUAAAUUA
Molecule: long non-coding RNA, 309 nt
Organism: Cucurbita moschata (crookneck pumpkin)
Lineage: Eukaryota; Viridiplantae; Streptophyta; Magnoliopsida; Cucurbitales; Cucurbitaceae
Exons: 3
Source: RefSeq, a predicted model, not a curated record